GGCGGCGUGCCUAAUACAUGCAAGUAGAACGCUGAAUGAUGAGCUUGCUUCUCUGUAUGCGUUGCUAACUGGUGAGUAACGCGUAUGUAACCUGCCUGGUAGCGGGGGAUAACUAUUGGAAACGAUAGCUAAUACCGCAUAACAACAGUUGUUGCAUGACAGCUGUUUAAAAGGUGCAAUUGCAUCACUACCAGAUGGACCUGCGUUGUAUUAGCUAGUUGGUGAGGUAACGGCUCACCAAGGCAACGAUACAUAGCCGACCUGAGAGGGUGAUCGGCCACACUGGGACUGAGACACGGCCCAGACUCCUACGG
RNAcentral lists this ribosomal RNA (314 nucleotides) under uncultured bacterium. Its description in RNAcentral is "bacterial SSU rRNA". It matches the Rfam family "Bacterial small subunit ribosomal RNA", at positions 38 to 344 of the family's 1533-position model. The record is from RNAcentral.